Molecule: ribosomal RNA, 699 nt
Filed under: uncultured bacterium
Lineage: Bacteria
Description: bacterial SSU rRNA
Rfam family: Bacterial small subunit ribosomal RNA
Source: RNAcentral
AGAGUUUGAUCCUGGCUCAGGACGAACGUUGGCGGUGCGCUUAAUGCAUGCAAGUCGAGGGAGAACCUUUCGAUCCGUAAGGACCGAAUGGGGAAACCGGCGAACGGGUGCGUAACACGUGAGGAACCUGCCCCGAAGACCGGGAUAGCCCGAGGAAACUCGGAUUAAUACCGGAUACCCUCCUCGGACCACAUGGUCUGUUGAGGAAAUGGUCCGCCGCUUCGGGAUGGCCUCGCGGCCUAUCAGCUUGUUGGUGAGGUAACGGCUCACCAAGGCAAAGACGGGUAGCUGGUCUGAGAGGACGAUCAGCCACACUGGGACUGAGACACGGCCCAGACUCCUACGGGAGGCAGCAGCAGGGAAUAUUGCGCAAUGGGCGAAAGCCUGAUGCAGCGACACCGCGUGCGGGAUGAAGGCCCUCGGGUUGUAAACCGCUUUCAGGAGGGACGAAAAUGACGGUACCUCCAGAAGAAGGCCCGGCCAACUACGUGCCAGCAGCCGCGGUAAUACGUAGGGGCCAAACGUUGUCCGGAUUUAUUGGGCGUAAAGGGCUCGUAGGCGGUUCAACAAGUCGAUCGUGAAAGCCCGGGGCUCAACCCCGGGACGCCGGUCGAAACUGUUGUGACUAGGGUCCGGUAGAGGUGAGUGGAAUUCUCGGUGUAGCGGUGGAAUGCGCAGAUAUCGAGAGGAACACCAGUU